RNAcentral lists this ribosomal RNA (301 nucleotides) under uncultured bacterium. Its description in RNAcentral is "partial 16S ribosomal RNA". It matches the Rfam family "Bacterial small subunit ribosomal RNA", at positions 509 to 808 of the family's 1533-position model. The record is from RNAcentral.
CAGCCGCCACGGGAUACGUAGGGUGCAAGCGUUAAUCGGAAUUACUGGGCGUAAAGCGUGCGCAGGCGGUUAUAUAAGACAGAUGUGAAAUCCCCGGGCUCAACCUGGGAACUGCAUUUGUGACUGUAUAGCUAGAGUACGGCAGAGGGGGAUGGAAUUCCGCGUGUAGCAGUGAAAUGCGUAGAUAUGCGGAGGAACACCGAUGGCGAAGGCAAUCCCCUGGGCCUGUACUGACGCUCAUGCACGAAAGCGUGGGGAGCAAACAGGAUUAGAGACCCCUGUAGUCCCUGUCUCUUAUACA